GUACUCACUACAGCAGCACAUAUACUGAAAUCGGAAGGAUACAGAGAAGAUGAGUGUGGCGCCUACGCACGGAUGACAUGCAAAUUCGUGAAGCCUUCCAUAUUUCU
Molecule: small nuclear RNA, 107 nt
Filed under: Catagonus wagneri (Chacoan peccary)
Lineage: Eukaryota; Metazoa; Chordata; Mammalia; Artiodactyla; Tayassuidae
Source: RNAcentral